RNAcentral lists this ribosomal RNA (1399 nucleotides) under uncultured bacterium. RNAcentral describes it as "16S ribosomal RNA". It matches the Rfam family "Bacterial small subunit ribosomal RNA". The record is from RNAcentral.
UUCGCCCUUAGAGUUUGAUCCUGGCUCAGGACGAACGCUGGCGGCGUGCUUAACACAUGCAAGUCGAGCGGGGAUGAUCGUGGAAGGGCUUCGGUCCGGAAGUGAUCAUUCUAGCGGCGGACGGGUGAGUAACGCGUGAGCAAUCUGUCCCAUACAGGGGGAUAACACUUGGAAACAGGUGCUAAUACCGCAUAAGACCACGGCACCGCAUGGUGCAGAGGUAAAAGGAGUGAUCCGGUAUGGGGUGAGCUCGCGUCCCAUUAGAUAGUUGGUGAGGUAACGGCCCACCAAGUCGACGAUGGGUAGCCGACCUGAGAGGGUGAUCGGCCACAUUGGAACUGAGAGACGGUCCAGACUCCUACGGGAGGCAGCAGUGGGGAAUAUUGGGCAAUGGGCGAAAGCCUGACCCAGCAACGCCGCGUGAAGGAAGAAGGUUUUCGGAUUGUAAACUUCUGUCCUUGGUGACGAAGGAAGUGACGGUAGCCAAGGAGGAAGCCCCGGCUAACUACGUGCCAGCAGCCGCGGUAAUACGUAGGGGGCCAAGCGUUGUCCGGAAUGACUGGGCGUAAAGGGCGUGUAGGCGGCCGAUUAAGUCUGAAGUGAAAGUCCUGCUUUCAAAGUGGGGAAUUGCUUUGGAGACUGGUUGGCUUGAGUGCGGAAGAGGUAAGUGGAAUCCUCAGUGGGGCGGUGAAAUGCGUAGAGAUUGGGAGGAACACCAGUGGCGAAGGCGACUUACUGGGCCGUAACUGACGCUGAGGCGCGAAAGCGUGGGGAGCGAACAGGAUUAGAUACCCUGGUAGUCCACGCUGUAAACGAUGAAUGCUAGGUGUUGCGGGUAUCGACCCCUGCAGUGCCACAGUGAACGCAAUAAGCAUUCCGCCUGGGGAGUACGGCCGCAAGGCUGAAACUCAAAGGAAUUGACGGGGGCCCGCACAAGCAGCGGAGCAUGUUGUUUAAUUCGAAGCAACGCGAAGAACCUUACCAUGUCUUGACAUCCAAUAAAAGCUAUAGAGAUAUAGUGUGACUUCGGUCGUAUUGAGACAGGUGGUGCAUGGUUGUCGUCAGCUCGUGUCGUGAGAUGUUGGGUUAAGUCCCGCAACGAGCGCAACCCCUAUUGUUAGUUGCUACGUAAGAGCACUCUAGCGAGACUGCCGUUGACAAAACGGAGGAAGGCGGGGACGACGUCAAAUCAUCAUGCCCCUUAUGUCCUGGGCUACACACGUAAUACAAUGGUCGUCAACAAAGGGAAGCAAAACCGCGAGGUGGAGCAAAUCCCCAAAAGCGAUCUCAGUUCGGAUUGCAGGCUGCAACUCGCCUGUAUGAAGUCGGAAUUGCUAGUAAUCGCGGAUCAGCAUGCCGCGGUGAAUACGUUCCCGGGCCUUGCACACACCGCCCGUCA